This 371-nucleotide ribosomal RNA is filed under the name uncultured bacterium. Its description in RNAcentral is "bacterial SSU rRNA". It matches the Rfam family "Bacterial small subunit ribosomal RNA", at positions 527 to 896 of the family's 1533-position model. The record is from RNAcentral.
AGGGGGGGCAAGCGUUAUUCGGAAUUAUUGGGCGUAAAGGGCGCGUAGGCGGCUUCGCAAGUGGAAGGUGAAAUCCCUCGGCUUAACCGAGGAACUGCCCUCCAAACUGCGUUGCUUGAGGCCGGGAGAGGUGAGUGGAAUUCCCAGUGUAGCGGUGAAAUGCGUAGAUAUUGGGAGGAACACCAGUGGCGAAGGCGGCUCACUGGACCGGUUCUGACGCUGAUGCGCGAAAGCGUGGGGAGCAAACGGGAUUAGAUACCCCGGUAGUCCACGCCGUAAACGAUGAGUGCUUGGUGUAGCGGGUAUCGACCCCUGCUGUGCCGAAGUCAACACAUUAAGCACUCCGCCUGGGGAGUACGGUCGCAAGGCUG